Molecule: small nuclear RNA, 107 nt
Organism: Acomys russatus (golden spiny mouse)
Lineage: Eukaryota; Metazoa; Chordata; Mammalia; Rodentia; Muridae
Source: RefSeq, a predicted model, not a curated record
GUGCUCGCUUCGGCAGCACAUAUACUAAAAUUGGAACCACACAGGGAAGAUUAGAACGGCCCCUUUGCAAGGAUGACACACAAAUUGAUGAAGCGGUCCAUACUUGU